UACAGAGGUGGCGAGCGUUGUUCGGAAUUACUGGGCGUAAAGGGCGCGUAGGCGGCCUUCUAAGUCGGACGUGAAAGCCCCAGGCUUAACCUGGGAACUGCGUCCGAUACUGGGAGGCUUGGAUUCGGGAGAUGGAUGUGGAAUUCCAGGUGUAGCGGUGAAAUGCGUAGAUAUCUGGAGGAACACCGGUGGCGAAGGCGGCAUCCUGGACCGACAUCGACGCUGAGGCGCGAAAGCUAGGGGAGCAAACGGG
Molecule: ribosomal RNA, 253 nt
Filed under: uncultured bacterium
Lineage: Bacteria
Description: partial 16S ribosomal RNA
Rfam family: Bacterial small subunit ribosomal RNA
Source: RNAcentral